GUGAACUUGUUAGAUGCAAGAUCUUAUGGAGUGCAUUUCAAACCAUCUCAGUAACCAUGGAUAUCCUUUUCAGUGGAAAAGGAGGAAUGGUAACACAGAAGAUGGUAAUAAUUAUGUACUUGAAUUAAAAAUCUGUGUACAAAAUGUGAUGAUGCAAACGCUUAGGUUGUCAGAACUUUUGAGAUCUGUUUUUAUGGAAAUUUGGCUAUCCUGAGCGACUCAUGGAGUUAUAUCUUUCCUUACAUUCUUCAUGUGAUAGCUACUAAUGCACAAUAAGUAAGCUCAUUAUGACAUGAUAUAGUGGAUGUUUUACCAGUUUCCUAGAUAUGUUUCAUUGUGAUAAAUACAGUUUGACAUUUACUAUAAGUAUCAAAACAAGACUCAUCUCUUACAGUACUUCUGGUGUGAAAUACUAACAGUUCAGUUUCCUAUAGCAGCAAUGUCACUCAAAUGCUGAAGCAAAUUAUAGUUAAUCAUGGAAAUUUAGAUGAGCUUAAUUUAGUUGAAAAACUAAAAUUAAAUCAUAGUUAGAGUCAGUCUUUAGAUUCAUAUGCUGUAGGUUAGUUACCAAUUUUCAAAAUGCUUACCUUGACAAAGUUUCUGCACUGGUAUGUCAGAUGACCAGGAUAACCACAUUUCUUGCAGGCAGCUCUCACAUCUCCCCCGCCUGUGGGGCCAAUACGAGCAAGAGGACGGUCUUCCAUCACCAAUCACAUGGCUGCAAGUAAUGAAUAAGGCUUCUGGACAAACUUUUCAUAAACUGGAUGAGAUCUGGAUUAUGAGAUGGAAAUCCAACCAUGUAUACAAGCUAAAGCAUGGAACAGCAGCCAAAGACAAUAUGCCUGGAAGAAAAUGAUAAUAAUCAACUCAAUAAUAAAUGGAGGAAGCACAGGUCAUCAUCCCUGACAUCAUGCAAUACACUAAAGCCUCCCUAAACCAAACCUGAAUAAGCUGAAUAUUGGAUAACUUGAACACCCUUAUCAACUUCUUCAGCCAGUCUGCCCAGCUCCACUCCAUCCCCAAUCACACCAGAGCCACCAGCCAACAUCUUUGAAUCAGACUCUGAAUGACAAGCAAAAGUACACUAGUAGUACAGUGUACAGACGUACCUCGGUACUCGACCAUAAUCCGUUCUGAGGUGGUGGUCGAGCACCGAUUUGUUCGAACACCGAAACCAAUUUUCCCAUAAGAAAUAAUGGAAAGUAUUUUAAUCCGUUCUUACCAUUAAGAAAAAUACCUAAAAUAUUAUAAUACCUAAAAUAUUAUACUGCGACGCGAGGUCGGACACUCGUACACCACUUUCAUAUUUUGCUAUAAUUUCCUUCUUCAGUUCAAUAGUGGUCCUCACUGUUUUCCUCUUUGCCUUCCCCUUAUCACUGUCUUUCUUUGGACCCAUUAUUAAGGGCUAGAGCAACACGAAAAAGUUUAAAUCUGGGAAGAAAUACUCGAACAAACUGCGUACGUCUUACUCCACUGGCGGUCUGAGUCGAACUGACGCUUACCCGCUGGCCGAGAAGGGCCGAGAAGGGCCGAGGAGCGCGUUCGGGUCGACUCGGCUAGUCGAGUACCGAAAAUCUGUUCGAGGUCCGAUGCAUUUUCUACUCAAAUUUUUUGGUCGAGCACCGAUUUGGUCGAGUAUAGAG
Scylla paramamosain (green mud crab) is the source of this 1643-nucleotide long non-coding RNA. RefSeq lists it as uncharacterized. NCBI's taxonomy places the organism in Eukaryota, Metazoa, Arthropoda, Malacostraca, Decapoda, Portunidae. The record is from RefSeq and is a predicted model, not a curated record. The transcript has 3 exons.